This 489-nucleotide ribosomal RNA is filed under the name uncultured bacterium. RNAcentral describes it as "bacterial SSU rRNA". It matches the Rfam family "Bacterial small subunit ribosomal RNA", at positions 1 to 499 of the family's 1533-position model. The record is from RNAcentral.
UGAGGCGCGCCGAGUUUGAUCCUGGCUCAGGACGAACGCUGGCGGCGUGCUUAACACAUGCAAGUCGAACGAACCGCGGAGGGCUUGCUCUCCAAGGUUAGUGGCGAACGGGUGCGUAACACGUGAGGAACAUGCCCACCGGCGGGGGAUAGCCGGCCCAACGGCCGGGUAAUACCGCGUACGACCUCUUGGGCGCAUGCCCGAGGGGGGAAAGCAGCAAUGCACCGGUGGAGUGCCUCGCGACCUAUCAGCUUGUUGGUGGGGUAACGGCUCACCAAGGCAACGACGGGUAGCUGGUCUGAGAGGAUGGCCAGCCACAUUGGGACUGAGACACGGCCCAGACUCCUACGGGAGGCAGCAGUGGGGAAUCUUAGACAAUGGGCGCAAGCCUGAUCUAGCCAUGCCGCGUGGAGUGAUGAAGGCCUUAGGGUCGUAAAGCUCUUUCGCCAGAGAUGAUAAUGACAGUAUCUGGUAAAGAAACCCGNGCUA